Molecule: long non-coding RNA, 1173 nt
Filed under: Malus domestica (apple)
Lineage: Eukaryota; Viridiplantae; Streptophyta; Magnoliopsida; Rosales; Rosaceae
Description: long non-coding RNA (MDOM_LNC001397)
Source: RNAcentral
UGGUGCAGAAGGUACAUGAACUUCAAUGCUUAGUGGUGGAGGAGCAUUAUUUGGUGGCAUAGGCGGUACAUGGCCUUCAACACUUGCAGGUGGAGGAGAAUUAGUUGGUGGCAUAGAUGGUACAUGACCUUCAACAUUUGGUGGUGGAGGAGCAUUAUUUGGUGGUGCAGUAGGUGCAUGAACUUCAAUGCUUAAUGGUGGAGGAACAUUAAUUGGUGGUGUGGGCGGUACAUGACCUUCAACACUUGGUGGUGGACGAGAAUUAGCUGGUGGCAGAGAUGGUACAUGACCUUCAACACUUGGUAGUGGAGGAGCAUCUUUUGGUGGCACCGACGGUGCUUGACUUUCAACACUUGGUGGUGGAGGAGAAGCAUCUUUUGGUGGCAAAGACGGUACUUGACUUUCAACACUUGGUGGUGCAGGAGCAUUAUUUGGUGGCUCUGACGGUACAUGUUCAGUACUUGGUGGUGGAGAAGCAGUUUUUGGUGGCAUAGGCGGUACAUGGCCUUCAACACUUGGUGGUGGAGGAGAAUUAGUCGGUGGCAUAGAUCGUACAUGGCCUUCAACACUUGGUGGCGGAGGAUCAUUAUUUGGUGGUGCAGUAGGUACAUGAACUUCAAUGCUUAGUGGUGGAGGAACUUUAAUUGGUGGCGUAGGCGGUACACGACCUUCAACACUUGGUGAUGGAGGAGAAUUAGCUGGUGGCAAAGAUGGUACAUGACCUUCAACACUUGGUAGUGGAGGAGCAUCUUUUGGUGGCACCGACGGUGCUUGACUUUCAACACUUGGUGGUGGAGGAGAAGCAUCUUUUGGUCGCAAAGGCGGUACUUGACUUUCAACACUUGGUGGUGGAGGAGCAUUAUUUGGUGGCUCUGACGGUACAUGUUCAGUACUUAGUGGUGGAGAAGCAGUUUUUGGUGGCAUAGGCGGUACAUGGCCUUCAACACUUGCAGGUGGAGGAGAAUUAGUUGGUGGCAUAGAUGGUACAUGACCUUCAACACUUGGUGGCGGAGGAGCGUUAUUUGGUGGUGUAGUAGGUACAUGAACUUCAAUGCUUAGUGGUGGAGGAACAUUAAUUGGUGGCGUAGGCGGUACACGACCUUCAACACUUGGUGAUGGAGGAGAAUUAGCUGGUGGCAAAGAUGGUACAUAACCUUCAACACUUGGUAGUGG